GCCACUGGCGCGCUUGUCUGUUCUCUUCGAGUCUGAUCAGUGUGAGAUUGGUGACCAUGGGCCUCCGCUGCAGGCGUGCUGGAGAUGAAUGGACUGAAGAUGGAACCUAACUUCUGGAUUCUUAACUGCUUAACUUAAUUGCUAGCAAUCAAGUGGAUUUAAGGCUCAUGUUGCCUUUUCCCAAAGGGAAGCUCCUGCUUGAUUAGCAGGUCGCAGUGUCAAGAUUUGCUGUCCAGUUUGUCUUGAACUACACCGUGGCACCUGGUGGUUGUUGGAAGACGCACUAGAAGAGGAUUGCUGACCACGUUCUUGUUGGGUUUGGUGUAAUGCCAGUUGUAAUGAAGUCAGGCUGGUGCUAAUAAAAGCAUUUAAGCUUAA
This is a long non-coding RNA of Trichomycterus rosablanca, 378 nucleotides long. RefSeq lists it as uncharacterized. The record is from RefSeq and is a predicted model, not a curated record. NCBI's taxonomy places the organism in Eukaryota, Metazoa, Chordata, Actinopteri, Siluriformes, Trichomycteridae. The transcript is spliced from 6 exons.